CGUAGGGUGCGAGCGUUGUCCGGAAUUACUGGGCGUAAAGAGCUCGUAGGUGGUUUGUCGCGUCGUUUGUGUAAGUCCACAGCUUAACUGUGGGACUGCAGGCGAUACGGGCAUAACUUGAGUGCUGUAGGGGAGACUGGAAUUCCUGGUGUAGCGGUGAAAUGCGCAGAUAUCAGGAGGAACACCGAUGGCGAAGGCAGGUCUCUGGGCAGUAACUGACGCUGAGGAGCGAAGCAUGGGUAGCGAACAGGAUU
Molecule: ribosomal RNA, 254 nt
Filed under: uncultured bacterium
Lineage: Bacteria
Description: partial 16S ribosomal RNA
Rfam family: Bacterial small subunit ribosomal RNA
Source: RNAcentral